UCCACGGAGAAGCGGGGCAGUCGGCCCUGGCCCACUUCUUUGGAAUGUGGAUUUCUAACUAAAAAGAGUAUUUUGAACAAUGGACAGAAGAAAUUCCAAUCUUUGGAAAUUUCCAGAGAGACUUUUGCAAGCCAUUCCAUCACUCCUACUAACGUAACCUAAGGACUUUGCAAUCAUUUGAAACAAAAAAAAAAUAGCAGAGAGGAGGAAGGAAAAGCAGAAUAUCUGAGCUUCACUUUCAGAAAGAUCAAAACCAUGAAAGAUGUUCAACACCUGCAGCCCCCACUCCCCUUCCC
Long non-coding RNA from Mauremys reevesii (Reeves's turtle), 296 nucleotides. RefSeq lists it as uncharacterized. The record is from RefSeq and is a predicted model, not a curated record. Lineage: Eukaryota; Metazoa; Chordata; Testudines; Geoemydidae. The transcript is spliced from 3 exons.